Molecule: ribosomal RNA, 266 nt
Filed under: uncultured bacterium
Lineage: Bacteria
Description: partial 16S ribosomal RNA
Rfam family: Bacterial small subunit ribosomal RNA
Source: RNAcentral
CGACCGGCGCACGGGUGAGUAACACGUAUGGAACCUGCCCUAUGCAGGGGGAUAAGCGGAAGAAAUUCCGUCUAAUACCGCAUAACACCUUUAGGAGACAUCUUCUUGGAGUCAAAGGAGGCGACUCCGGCAUAGGAUGGCCAUGCGUCGCAUUAGCUAGUCGGCGGGGUAACGGCCCACCGAGGCGACGAUGCGUAGGGGUUCUGAGAGGAAGGUCCCCCACACUGGUACUGAGACACGGACCAGACUCCUACGGAAGGCAGCAG